RNAcentral lists this ribosomal RNA (491 nucleotides) under uncultured bacterium. RNAcentral's name for it is "partial 16S ribosomal RNA". It matches the Rfam family "Bacterial small subunit ribosomal RNA", at positions 29 to 506 of the family's 1533-position model. The record is from RNAcentral.
AGUGAACGCUGGCGGUAGGCCUAACACAUGCAAGUCGAACGGCAGCACAGUAAGAGCUUGCUCUUACGGGUGGCGAGUGGCGGACGGGUGAGGAAUACAUCGGAAUCUACUUUUUCGUGGGGGAUAACGUAGGGAAACUUACGCUAAUACCGCAUACGACCUACGGGUGAAAGCAGGGGAUCUUCGGACCUUGCGCGAUUGAAUGAGCCGAUGUCGGAUUAGCUAGUUGGCGGGGUAAAGGCCCACCAAGGCGACGAUCCGUAGCUGGUCUGAGAGGAUGAUCAGCCACACUGGAACUGAGACACGGUCCAGACUCAUACGGGAGGCAGCAGUGGGGAAUAUUGGACAAUGGGCGCAAGCCUGAUCCAGCCAUACCGCGGGGGUGAAGAAGGCCUUCGGGUUGUAAAGCCCUUUUGUUGGGAAAGAAAAGCAGCAGGUUAAUACCCCGCUGUUCUGACGGUACCCAAAGAAUAAGCACCGGCUAACUUCGU